UUGGCAUGUCUGGGCACGUUGGAUCCCUGCUUGGGCAGCGACGACGUACCUUGCAUGCCUCUUCAGUAGGUCGCCCAAGUGCAUGCUAGCCUUGGUCGUUCUGUCGGUUUCCUGUGUUAUAUACCUACCAAGAAGGUAUCGAAUCGUUUAAAAAUGUCCCGUUUCAGCCUUGUGUUGCGCCCCUCGGGGCUGCGGUGCGGGGUGGUCCUCAAAGCACCUGCCGUGUUCCAUUGCUCGUACGUCUUGAUAUGUGCUCGAGUUUUUGGCCCAUGGUUGUGUGCUCGAUCUCUCGGAUGCGGAAAAUUGAGUGGGCACGAGGCCUUUGGUCUCUAUUUGCCACGAAAUAAAGCGUUCUACGCUUCUUG
This 365-nucleotide unclassified non-coding RNA is filed under the name Rhodocolea compressa. RNAcentral's name for it is "partial external transcribed spacer". Lineage: Eukaryota; Viridiplantae; Streptophyta; Magnoliopsida; Lamiales; Bignoniaceae. The record is from RNAcentral.